Molecule: unclassified non-coding RNA, 402 nt
Filed under: soil metagenome
Description: partial contains 5.8S ribosomal RNA, internal transcribed spacer 2, and large subunit ribosomal RNA
Rfam family: 5.8S ribosomal RNA (bases 1-121)
Source: RNAcentral
GAUGAAGAACGUAGCGAAAUGCGAUAAGUAAUGUGAAUUGCAGAAUUCAGUGAAUCAUCGAAUCUUUGAACGCACCUUGCGCCCUUUGGCUAUUCUGAAGGGCAUGCCUGUUUGAGUAUCGUGAACACCUCAACUCUCAUGGUCUGCCAUAAUGAGCUUGGACUUUGGGGGUCUUGCUGGCCUACUGUCAGCUCCUCUCAAAUGAAUCAGCUUACCAGUGUUUGGUGGCACCACAGGUGUGAUAACUAUCUACGCUUGUGGUUUUCUGCCAGGUAACCUCCAGUGAUGGAGGUUCGCUGGAGCUCACAAAUGUCUCUCCUCAGCGAGGACAGCUUUUUGAACGUUUGAUCUCAAAUCAGGUAGGACUACCCGCUGAACUUAAGCAUAUCAAUAAGCGGAGGA